AGAGUUUGAUCAUGGCUCAGAUUGAACGCUGGCGGCAGGCCUAACACAUGCAAGUCGAGCGGUAGCACAGAGAGCUUGCUCUCGGGUGACGAGCGGCGGACGGGUGAGUAAUGUCUGGGAAACUGCCUGAUGGAGGGGGAUAACUACUGGAAACGGUAGCUAAUACCGCAUAAUGUCGCAAGACCAAAGUGGGGGACCUUCGGGCCUCAUGCCAUCAGAUGUGCCCAGAUGGGAUUAGCUAGUAGGUGGGGUAAUGGCUCACCUAGGCGACGAUCCCUAGCUGGUCUGAGAGGAUGACCAGCCACACUGGAACUGAGACACGGUCCAGACUCCUACGGGAGGCAGCAGUGGGGAAUAUUGCACAAUGGGCGCAAGCCUGAUGCAGCCAUGCCGCGUGUGUGAAGAAGGCCUUCGGGUUGUAAAGCACUUUCAGCGGGGAGGAAGGCGAUAAGGUUAAUAACCUUGUCGAUUGACGUUACCCGCAGAAGAAGCACCGGCUAACUCCGUGCCAGCAGCCGCGGUAAUACGGAGGGUGCAAGCGUUAAUCGGAAUUACUGGGCGUAAAGCGCACGCAGGCGGUCUGUCAAGUCGGAUGUGAAAUCCCCGGGCUUAACCUGGGAACUGCAUUCGAAACUGGCAGGCUAGAGUCUUGUAGAGGGGGGUAGAAUUCCAGGUGUAGCGGUGAAAUGCGUAGAGAUCUGGAGGAAUACCGGUGGCGAAGGCGGCCCCCUGGACAAAGACUGACGCUCAGGUGCGAAAGCGUGGGGAGCAAACAGGAUUAGAUACCCUGGUAGUCCACGCCGUAAACGAUGUCGAUUUGGAGGUUGUGCCCUUGAGGCGUGGCUUCCGGAGCUAACGCGUUAAAUCGACCGCCUGGGGAGUACGGCCGCAAGGUUAAAACUCAAAUGAAUUGACGGGGGCCCGCACAAGCGGUGGAGCAUGUGGUUUAAUUCGAUGCAACGCGAAGAACCUUACCUGGUCUUGACAUCCACAGAACUUUCCAGAGAUGGAUUGGUGCCUUCGGGAACUGUGAGACAGGUGCUGCAUGGCUGUCGUCAGCUCGUGUUGUGAAAUGUUGGGUUAAGUCCCGCAACGAGCGCAACCCUUAUCCUUUGUUGCCAGCGGUUCGGCCGGGAACUCAAAGGAGACUGCCAGUGAUAAACUGGAGGAAGGUGGGGAUGACGUCAAGUCAUCAUGGCCCUUACGACCAGGGCUACACACGUGCUACAAUGGCAUAUACAAAGAGAAGCGACCUCGCGAGAGCAAGCGGACCUCAUAAAGUAUGUCGUAGUCCGGAUUGGAGUCUGCAACUCGACUCCAUGAAGUCGGAAUCGCUAGUAAUCGUAGAUCAGAAUGCUACGGUGAAUACGUUCCCGGGCCUUGUACACACCGCCCGUCACACCAUGGGAGUGGGUUGCAAAAGAAGUAGGUAGCUUAACCUUCGGGAGGGCGCUUACCACUUUGUGAUUCAUGACUGGGGUGAAGUCGUAACAAGGUAACCGUAGGGGAACCUGCGGUUGGAUCACCU
Molecule: ribosomal RNA, 1528 nt
Filed under: Klebsiella pneumoniae
Lineage: Bacteria; Pseudomonadati; Pseudomonadota; Gammaproteobacteria; Enterobacterales; Enterobacteriaceae
Description: bacterial SSU rRNA
Rfam family: Bacterial small subunit ribosomal RNA
Source: RNAcentral